CAUCUCUGCACUUUGCUUAUGCCCUUCCUCCUGCCUGAAAUUGUCUUUCUUCCUUGCUUAGCUGGAAAAUUCAACCUUUACAGCCCAGAGAAGCAUUUAUGAGCGUCUAUUCUAUGUGACUACAGCUCCACUAAGUGACACCAAACAAGAUUCCUGGAGGAAGGAAAACAGAGUGCAGCUGGCAGAGACUGAAGGAAGUGCUGC
Molecule: long non-coding RNA, 204 nt
Filed under: Homo sapiens (human)
Lineage: Eukaryota; Metazoa; Chordata; Mammalia; Primates; Hominidae
Description: LNC_000118
Source: RNAcentral